AAAACGAGAUGAAAGAUGAGGAAUUCGAGCAUAUAGAGAAGGAAGAUGACUUCAAAGAAGAAAGAAUUGAGGAGACAAAACGGAAGGCCUGCUGUAGGUUCGGCGGGGUCGGAGCUCUGUGCUCAAUUGGAGUGGCUGCUGCUACCAUCUGUAUAUUUGUAUUGGGAGGCCGGCAGCAGCAGCAGCAGAAACAGCAGUUCCAGAAUCAGAGGAUUCAGUUCCAAAUCUACGGAGACGACAAGAGGAUGAAGCAAGUGGUGCAGCAGGCUGGCCGGCUGAACCAGGCAUGGU
RNAcentral lists this unclassified non-coding RNA (291 nucleotides) under Hevea brasiliensis (rubber tree). The record is from RNAcentral. Lineage: Eukaryota; Viridiplantae; Streptophyta; Magnoliopsida; Malpighiales; Euphorbiaceae.